CGCCGUCGCUACUACCGAUUGAAUGGCUCAGUGAGGCGUCCGGACUGGCCCAGAGAGGUGGGCAACUACCACUCAGGGCCGGAAAGCUCUCCAAACUCGGUCAUUUAGAGGAAGUAAAAGUCGUAACAAGGUCUCCGUUGGUGAACCAGCGGAGGGAUCAUUA
Molecule: ribosomal RNA, 163 nt
Filed under: Tolypocladium sp. ENF7
Lineage: Eukaryota; Fungi; Ascomycota; Sordariomycetes; Hypocreales; Ophiocordycipitaceae
Description: partial 18S ribosomal RNA
Rfam family: Eukaryotic small subunit ribosomal RNA
Source: RNAcentral